CCUACGGGAGGCAGCAGUGGGGAAUAUUGGACAAUGGGCGAAAGCCUGAUCCAGCCAUGCCGCGUGUGUGAAGAAGGUCUUCGGAUUGUAAAGCACUUUAAGUUGGGAGGAAGGGCAGUUACCUAAUACGUGAUUGUUUUGACGUUACCGACAGAAUAAGCACCGGCUAACUCUGUGCCAGCAGCCGCGGUAAUACAGAGGGUGCAAGCGUUAAUCGGAAUUACUGGGCGUAAAGCGCGCGUAGGUGGUUAGUUAAGUUGGAGGUGAAAUCCCCGGGCUCAACCUGGGAACUGCAUUCAAAACUGACUGACUAGAGUAUGGUAGAGGGUGGUGGAAUUUCCUGUGUAGCGGUGAAAUGCGUAGAUAUAGGAAGGAACACCAGUGGCGAAGGCGACCACCUGGACUGAUACUGACACUGAGGUGCGAAAGCGUGGGGAGCAAACAGGAUUAGAUACCCCGGUAGU
This 464-nucleotide ribosomal RNA is filed under the name uncultured Pseudomonadaceae bacterium. Its description in RNAcentral is "partial 16S ribosomal RNA". It matches the Rfam family "Bacterial small subunit ribosomal RNA", at positions 338 to 794 of the family's 1533-position model. Lineage: Bacteria; Pseudomonadati; Pseudomonadota; Gammaproteobacteria; Pseudomonadales; Pseudomonadaceae. The record is from RNAcentral.